Molecule: ribosomal RNA, 253 nt
Filed under: uncultured bacterium
Lineage: Bacteria
Description: partial 16S ribosomal RNA
Rfam family: Bacterial small subunit ribosomal RNA
Source: RNAcentral
UACGGAGGGAGCUAGCGUUGUUCGGAAUUACUGGGCGUAAAGCGCGCGUAGGCGGCUUUGUAAGUUAGAGGUGAAAGCCUGGGGCUCAACUCCAGAACUGCCUUUAAGACUGCAUCGCUAGAAUCCAGGAGAGGUGAGUGGAAUUCCGAGUGUAGAGGUGAAAUUCGUAGAUAUUCGGAAGAACACCAGUGGCGAAGGCGGCUCACUGGACUGGUAUUGACGCUGAGGUGCGAAAGCGUGGGGAGCAAACAGG